RNAcentral lists this ribosomal RNA (254 nucleotides) under uncultured bacterium. RNAcentral describes it as "partial 16S ribosomal RNA". It matches the Rfam family "Bacterial small subunit ribosomal RNA", at positions 524 to 776 of the family's 1533-position model. The record is from RNAcentral.
UACGUAGGGUGCAAGCGUUGUCCGGAUUUACUGGGCGUAAAGGGCGUGUAGGCGGCCACCGCAAGUCGACUGUGAAAUCUCCGGGCUUAACCCGGAAAGGUCAGCCGAUACUGCGGGGCUAGAGUGCAGAAGGGGCAACUGGAAUUCUCGGUGUAGCGGUGAAAUGCGUAGAUAUCGAGAGGAACACCUGCGGCGAAGGCGGGUUGCUGGGCUGACACUGACGCUGAUGCGCGAAAGCUAGGGGAGCGAACGGG